GCAGUCCUUUGCCAGUCUGCUGUUGGGACCAAGGAGCCACAUCAGUUUGGAUGCUCUUGCUCUCAGCUUGUUACUUAGUGGCGAAGGUAUUCCUCGUUCUGUCCGACAGCCCCCGAGGGAAGCGCAGAGGCACACAUGAUCACUGUAUCGUCGGCGUAUGUUGAUAACAGCAUUUGAUUUUGGCUGGGCGCAAAGUAUGUGCGUCUCAUGAGCGAUGGGAGGGGCAUAUCCGACGAGUAAAUUGUGUACAGAAUUGGGCCCAGCACACUGCCCUGGGGCACGCCGGCAGCAACUCGACCUGUUCUAGAUUUGACACCGUCGUUGCAGUUUACUACGAAGGUGCGCUCGCAUAGCAGGCCGUCAUGCCACACGCGGUCAAAGGCUUCCGAGAUAUCUAUAUAGACCGCUGAGCAGAAAUGUCGCUCUUCGUAUGCGCGUAAUAUAAAUUGCGUAACGCGGGCCAGUUGCUGCUCAGUGCCGUGUUCUCGCCUGAAGCCAAAUUGAUGGCUUGGCAUUGCCCUGGCAAAAUCCUGGACUUCGAAGAGCCUUGACAUUAAGAGCUUCUCGAAGAUCUUUGAUAGGCCCGAUAAGAGGCUGAUUGGACGAUAUGAUGUUGCUUCAGCUGUGCUUUUACCAGGCUUGGGAAUCAUAGUUAUGCCAGCGUGUUUCCAUUUGCUUGGGAAAUGC
This is a long non-coding RNA of Drosophila novamexicana, 687 nucleotides long. RefSeq lists it as uncharacterized. The transcript has 3 exons. The record is from RefSeq and is a predicted model, not a curated record. Lineage: Eukaryota; Metazoa; Arthropoda; Insecta; Diptera; Drosophilidae.